This 423-nucleotide ribosomal RNA is filed under the name uncultured bacterium. RNAcentral describes it as "bacterial SSU rRNA". It matches the Rfam family "Bacterial small subunit ribosomal RNA", at positions 94 to 507 of the family's 1533-position model. The record is from RNAcentral.
ACCGGCGCGACGGGUGAAGUAACCGCGUACUACCCAACCUCGCCCAUCACUUGGGGAUAACCUUGCGAAAGUAAGACUAAUACCCAAUGACGUCUCUAGAAGACAUCUGAAAGAGAUUAAAGAUUUAUCGGUGAUGGAUGGGGAUGCGUCUGAUUAGCUUGUUGGCGGGGUAACGGCCCACCAAGGCGACGAUCAGUAGGGGUUCUGAGAGGUUAACCCCCCCACACUGGUACUGAGACACGGACCAGACUCCUACGGGAGGCAGCAGUGAGGAAUAUUGGUCAAUGGACGCAAGUCUGAACCAGCCAUGCCGCGUGCAGGAUGACGGCUCUAUGAGUUGUAAACUGCUUUUGUACUAGGGUAAACUCACCUACGUGUAGGUGACUGAAAGUAUAGUACGAAUAAGGAUCGGCUAACUCCGUG